This 1287-nucleotide ribosomal RNA is filed under the name Pieleus irregularis. RNAcentral's name for it is "16S ribosomal RNA". The stretch from base 596 to 1287 matches the Rfam family "Archaeal large subunit ribosomal RNA", at positions 1423 to 2807 of the family's 2987-position model. Lineage: Eukaryota; Metazoa; Arthropoda; Insecta; Coleoptera; Cleridae. The record is from RNAcentral.
AAAGUUAAUAUUUAUUAUUAAUUUAUUUUGUUUAUUUUUUAAAAAAAGUAAUUUUAAUUUUAUUAUAAUUAAGAAAAAAUUUUUAUAAUUAUAGUUUAGAGUAUUGAGAAAGAAAAUUUUUAAUUUAUUUAAAAGAAAAAUUUAAAUUUUGUACCUUGUGCAUCAGGGUUAAUCUAAAAAUAAUUUUGUAUUUAAAUAUUCUCGAAUUCAAAAGAGCUAAUUAGUUAUAAAUUUUAUUGUGAAAUAAAUAUUUAAAAUAAUUAAUUAGAAAUGAAACGUUAUUCGUUUUUGAAUAUAUCUAGUUUUUAAAUAAAUAAAUUUAAUUUAGUUAUUUUAAUUUAAAAUUUUUAUUUAAUAAAAUUUUAUUUAAAAUAAGUAAUUUUUUUAGGGAUAAGCUUAAAAAAAAAAAAUUAUAAUUAAAUAUUUUUAUAUAAUAAAUUAUAGGAUUAUAAUUUUCUAUAAAUAAAAGAAUGUUAUAAUUAAUUAUUAGAAAUAUAAAAUUUAUAUUUAAAUUUAAUUUUUAUAUUUAAAUGUAUAUGUUAAUAAAAUUUAUGUAGUAAUAGUGAUUAAAUUAGUAUAAAUUUAUGUAGAGUUAAAUUUUUAAUUAAGGUUAAAUUAAGGAACUCGGCAAAUUUAUUUUUCACCUGUUUAUUAAAAACAUGUCCUUUUGAUUAUAAUUUAAGGUCUAAUCUGCCCACUGAGGUUUUAAAUGGCCGCGGUAUUUUGACCGUGCAAAGGUAGCAUAAUAAUUAGUUUCUUAAUUAGAAGCUGGAAUGAAAGAUUGAAUGAGAAAAUGACUGUCUCAGUUUAAUUUAGUUAGAACUUUAUUUUUAAGUUAAAAAGCUUAAAUAAUUUUAAAAGACGAGAAGACCCUAUAGAGUUUUAUUUAUAUUUUAAAUUAAAAUUUUUAGAUUGAAUAAAUUUUAACUUUAAAUAUAAAUUUUGUUGGGGUGAUAGAAAAAUUUAAUUAACUUUUUUUAAAUAAUUACAUUAAUUAAUGAUUUUUUGAUCCAAUAAUUUUGAUUAAAAGAUAAAAUUACCUUAGGGAUAACAGCGUAAUUUUUUUUGAGAGUUCUUAUCGAAAAAAGAGAUUGCGACCUCGAUGUUGGAUUAAAGUAUAAUUUUGGUGUAGAAGCUAAAAAUUUAGGUCUGUUCGACCUUUAAAACUUUACAUGAUCUGAGUUUAAACCGGUGUAAGCCAGGUUGGUUUCUAUCUUUAAAUAAAAAUAAUAUUUUAGUACGAAAGGACCAAAUAUUAAUUAAAUUAAUUUGCUAAUGAAUUUUAUU